This 2639-nucleotide long non-coding RNA is filed under the name Oryza sativa Indica Group (long-grained rice). RNAcentral's name for it is "lncRNA OsMH63_01G045260". Lineage: Eukaryota; Viridiplantae; Streptophyta; Magnoliopsida; Poales; Poaceae. The record is from RNAcentral.
AUGGACCCCAAAUUCCCCCCACCCCCACCGCUAAACAAAACGGAGCCCACCACCACCACCACCAACCAGCAGCAUCACCACGAUGAGCAGCAGCAGCAGCAUCGCCUCCAGAUUCAAGUUCAUCCUCAGCAGCAGGAGCAGCAGGAUGGAGGUGGAGGAGGAGGGAAGGAUCAGCAGCAGCAGCAGCAGAUGCAGGUGGUGGUUGCGGCGGCGGCGGGGGAGAGGAGGAUGCAGGGGCUAGGGCCGAAGCGGAGCUCGAACAAGGACCGCCACACCAAGGUGGACGGGCGGGGGCGGCGGAUCCGGAUGCCGGCGCUGUGCGCCGCCCGGAUCUUCCAGCUCACGCGGGAGCUCGGCCACAAGUCCGACGGCGAGACCGUCCAGUGGCUGCUCCAGCAGGCGGAGCCGGCCAUCGUCGCCGCCACGGGGACCGGGACCAUCCCGGCGUCCGCGCUCGCCUCCGUCGCCCCCUCCCUCCCUUCCCCCAACUCCGCCCUCUCCAGGUCGCACCACCACCACCACCACAUGUGGGCGGCAGCGCCGCCCACGGCGUCCGCCGGGUUCGCCGGUGCAGGGUUCUCCGGCGCCGACUCCGGGGUGAUCGGCGGGAUCAUGCAGCGGAUGGGGAUCCCCGCCGGGAUCGAGCUCCAGGGCGGGGGAGCGGGGGGGUUGGGGGGUGGGGGUGGCGGCGGCGGUGGCCACAUCGGGUUCGCGCCCAUGUUCGCCGGCCACGCGGCGGCGGCGGCGGCCAUGCCGGGGCUAGAGCUAGGGCUCUCGCAGGACGGCCACAUCGGCGUGCUCGCCGCGCAGUCGCUCAGCCAGUUCUACCACCAGGUCGGCGCCGCCGGUCAGCUGCAGCACCAGCACCAGCAUCACCAUCAGCAGCAGCAGCAGCAGCAGGAGGACGGGGAGGACGACCGCGACGACGGCGAGUCCGAUGAGGAGUCCGGGCAGUAGUAGCCGCGCCGCCUGAAUUUGUUCAUCCACGCGUCGUCUCUUCGGAGGAGAAAAGAGAAUUCUAGGAAGGACAUGCAGCUAAUGGAGGGGGGAAUGGAAUGCUUUUGUUACUGUUGGGUUGUUCUUCAUGGGGGUUUUUAUGUCUGAUUUUUUUUCCUCGUGUGGUGUCGAAGCUCGAAAGAGGCUACUACUUUGCUCCGGCGACUUGUUGGGAUGGAUCAUGAUCAUCUUCAGUUGUUACUCCUGCUGCUCCAUGGAUGGUUGCCGGUUUAUCCCCCUCCAAGUGUUUAGGUGUAUAAUAGCCGAGAGCUGGAUGGACUGGAUCAUCGCUGUCGAGUGAGUGCCUUAUUUGUUAUUGCAGGUCGUUGUGUAGAUAUUCAGGUAUUUUUGCAGUUAGAGAGGUCUUCUUUUUUUCCUUUUUACGAGAGUGAUGAUCCGCUUAUGUGCGACAAAUACGAUGUCCGUCAAACUGAUCCUCACCCACGGGCUGUUUCUGCAACGCAAAUAUGAUGCAUAUACAUUUUUAGAGGCCUGAUUUUAUAUGCUUAUUCUUUUGUGGUAUGUUGUAUGAUGUCGGUUUCAAGGUUUCUCUUGAUUUUCCCUGGCUUGCUUUUAGUUUGUGUAGCAUGUUUACUAUUUUUGUCAAUUUCUUGAUUUGGGUGACCUGUCUAUUAAUAGAACGGAACAGCAGAAACAUCAACAAUGUGUGCUUGCAGGCAUGGUGUCAACGUGUCAUGGUGAAAAUAAAUGUGUAAUGUUUCUCUGUAGAGCAUGUUUUACACUUUUAGUGCCUCAUAUAUAGCACACAAUUAUACAGUAGAGCAAUGCUUCAUGAUUGAGAAAAAAAUCGCAUGAUGUGGCGCUGUAAAUUCCAAGCAUUCCCACGGUGUUUAAGUAAAGUAAUAUAACUCAAAAGCUUUUCACCUUGUUCGUUGUACGGACUAGUGUCUUCCUGGCUAUGAGAAAUAGGAAUUGAGGCUAGCUCAGUUGGUAGGAGGAGGUGUGGGUGUACACUCCCACCACCCAAUUUUGGAUCUUCUAACUUCGGUGUAUAUUAAUUUCUUCGUUCUUUAAUUUCAUACCAAAGUUUGUCUUUGCUUUCCUAUAAAAUGAAGAUGGUAUGACCUUUUUGUUCCUGUGCCAUUGAAAACUCCAGUAAAUAUCUCAUAGAAUUUGAAAAAUAUCACGAACAAUCAACGGGAAGGGCAAGCAUGCUUCAUAAUCAUAAGGUGGACCCUUGAUGUUCCAUAAUCCAUAUCAUUGGUUGACACUAACCAAGACCAAACAACCUUUCAUGAUGAGUUCGGUGUGGAAAUGGCCCAACUAGAUUGUGCUGGUAUUGGCUUUAAGCUUGACUUUGUAACCUGAGCACAUAUAACACACCAUAAGGCUCACCUGUGCUCGGUUUUACCUCGUCUAUUUUCUUGUCAUAUGAAGGUCUCUAGCCACUACUGGUAUAUCAACAGAAGUUGUGAGGAGAUGCCAGUUAAGUGUAGUGUUAGGGAGAACCUUUACAUCUCAUCUAAUGGAAAGUUGCAAAAGUGAACAGUUAAAUCAAAAUCAUUUUACAAGUUGGGGAGCAGCAUGUUCAUUAUAGUUCAGUCACAAACAACAAAAAAGUGUUCUCCUGUGUGGGCUAGCAUGAGUGUGCCGGCAACUGUAGUUAUCCCAAAUCCCAUCUC